Molecule: unclassified non-coding RNA, 299 nt
Filed under: plant metagenome
Description: partial contains 5.8S ribosomal RNA, internal transcribed spacer 2, and large subunit ribosomal RNA
Rfam family: 5.8S ribosomal RNA (bases 1-105)
Source: RNAcentral
GAAAUGCGAUAAGUAAUGUGAAUUGCAGAAUUCAGUGAAUCAUCGAAUCUUUGAACGCACAUUGCGCCCCCUGGUAUUCCGGGGGGCAUGCCUGUUCGAGCGUCAUUUCACCACUCAAGCCUCGCUUGGUAUUGGGCGACGCGGUCCGCCGCGCGCCUCAAAUCGACCGGCUGGGUCUUUCGUCCCCUCAGCGUUGUGGAAACUAUUCGCUAAAGGGUGCCGCGGGAGGCCACGCCGUAAAACAACCCCAUUUCUAAGGUAGACCUCGGAUCAGGUAGGGAUACCCGCUGAACUUAAGC